This 497-nucleotide ribosomal RNA is filed under the name uncultured bacterium. RNAcentral's name for it is "partial 16S ribosomal RNA". It matches the Rfam family "Bacterial small subunit ribosomal RNA", at positions 28 to 507 of the family's 1533-position model. The record is from RNAcentral.
GAUGAACGCUGGCGGCGUGCCUAAUACAUGCAAGUCGAGCGAACAGACGAGGAGCUUGCUCCUCUGACGUUAGCGGCGGACGGGUGAGUAACACGUGGAUAACCUACCUAUAAGACUGGGAUAACUUCGGGAAACCGGAUCUAAUACCGGAUAAUAUAUUGAACCGCAUGGUUCAAUAGUUAAAGACGGUUUUGCUGUCACUUAUAGAUUGAUCCGCGCCGCAUUAGCUAGUUGGUAAGGUAACGGCUUACCAAGGCAACGAUGCGUAGCCGACCUGAGAGGGUGAUCGGCCACACUGGAACUGAGACACGGUCCAGACUCCUACGGGAGGCAGCAGUAGGGAAUCUUCCGCAAUGGGCGAAAGCUUGACGGAGCAACGCCGCGUGAGUGAUGAAGGUCUUCGGAUCGUAAAACUCUGUUAUUAGGGAAGAACAAAUGUGUAAGUAACUAUGCACGUCUUGACGGUACCUAAUCAGAAAGCCACGGCUAACUACGUG